UGGGGAAUUUUGGACAAUGGGCGCAAGCCUGAUCCAGCCAUGCCGCGUGUGGGAAGAAGGCCUUCGGGUUGUAAACCACUUUUGUCAGGGAAGAAACGGCUCUUACUAAUAUUAGGAGCUAAUGACGGUACCUGAAGAAUAAGCACCGGCUAACUACGUGCCAGCAGCCGCGGUAAUACGUAGGGUGCAAGCGUUAAUCGGAAUUACUGGGCGUAAAGCGUGCGCAGGCGGUUAUAUAAGACAGAGGUGAAAUCCCCGGGCUCAACCUGGGAACUGCCUUUGUGACUGCAUAGCUAGAGUACGGUAGAGGGGGAUGGAAUUCCGCGUGUAGCAGUGAAAUGCGUAGAUAUGCGGAGGAACACCGAUGGCGAAGGCAAUCCCCUGGACCUGUACUGACGCUCAUGCACGAAAGCGUGGGGAGCAAACA
This 427-nucleotide ribosomal RNA is filed under the name uncultured bacterium. Its description in RNAcentral is "bacterial SSU rRNA". It matches the Rfam family "Bacterial small subunit ribosomal RNA", at positions 355 to 774 of the family's 1533-position model. The record is from RNAcentral.